AUCUUUAAAAAAGGCUCUGAUUGGCUCAGCGCGGCACACUGAUGCACAACUGUCAUUCAACGCACCUCAUCUGAGCAUGAAGAGUUCUUCAUCGAGUCUGCCCUCUGGUACUGCUCCUUGGGGAAACUGGACAUCACCCUGAAGGCCCUGCAGAGAGUGGCCCAGAUCGACAGGAAGCAGAGAGAAGGUGCCAAACUGAGUGUGGAGGCAGAGAGAUCUGAGCAUGACGGCCGCCUUGGCCAACACAGGCAGCAUCCUGAGCCCGCUGGUGAGCACGACCUCAGAGGUUUACCCUUCCCUGCCUCUCUGCAUCUCUGGAGCAGCCCUUGUGGCUGCCUGUCCCAUCACUGUCCUCCUGCCGGAGACUCUGGGGCAGCCACUGCCCAACACAGUGCAGGACCUGGAGAGAAGGUGGAAAGAGAAACCCGGGCAGAAGCAGCAGGAGCAGCAGAUGGUUCCCCUCCUGCCUCCCGAGGACUGAGAAAGGGCAAAGCACGGACGGAGCCCCCGCAUCUCCUGGAGGUCCUCACCCAGAGGAGGGGGAGAGGAACGGCAGCCAGGGGAAGACGGGAGGGACCGCUGCUGGACCUGUAAUUCCAGAGGACACUUCCCCUGGGUCUCCGAUCCUAGCCAGACCCACCCUCCCAUUUCAUUGAAAGUAGCUACACACAACUUCUCCCAUUCUUUCCACCAUGGCCGCUCCACAUCAGCUAACCCUUGGUGCAAAAAUUCACAUGGCAGAGUUCCCACUGCGGUGCAAUGGGAUUGGUGGCGUCUCUGCAGCACCAGGAUGCAGGUUCGAUCCCCAGCCCAGCACAAUGGGUUAAAGGACCCAGUCUUGCCACCGUGGCAUUGGUUGCAGCUGUGGCUAGGAUCUGAUCCUGGCCUGGGAACGCCGCAUGUCUUGGGGCAGCCAAAAAACAAACAAACAAAAAAAAAACACAACAACUCAUUCAGUGAUCAUUGGUGUAGAAAAUCCAGUGGAAUCUACACAAACACUACUUCAACAACAAGGAGUUUAGGAAAGUGGUAGGGAGUUCGCGUUGUGGCUCAGCGUAAACGAAUCUGACUAGUAACCAUGAGGACACAAGUUCGAUCCCUGGCCUUACUCAGUGAGUUAAGGAUCCGGCAUGGCUGUGGCUUUGGCGUAGCCAGGAGCUGUAGCUCCGAUUGGAACCCUAGCCUGGGAACCUCCAUAUGCCACGGAUGAGGCCCUAAAUAAAAAAAGAGAGAGAAAGUGGUGGAUUAUAAUA
Molecule: long non-coding RNA, 1253 nt
Filed under: Sus scrofa (pig)
Lineage: Eukaryota; Metazoa; Chordata; Mammalia; Artiodactyla; Suidae
Description: lncRNA (ENSSSCG00070024995.1)
Source: RNAcentral